This 541-nucleotide ribosomal RNA is filed under the name Ostichthys japonicus (Japanese soldierfish). RNAcentral's name for it is "partial 16S ribosomal RNA". It matches the Rfam family "Bacterial large subunit ribosomal RNA", at positions 601 to 1346 of the family's 2925-position model. Lineage: Eukaryota; Metazoa; Chordata; Actinopteri; Holocentriformes; Holocentridae. The record is from RNAcentral.
GUACCUUUUGCAUCAUGUUUUAGCCAGCACCCCCCAAGCAAAGAGCCCUUUAGUUUGACACCCCGAAACUGGACGAGCUACUCCAAGACAGCCUAUUAUAGGGCCAACCCGUCUCUGUGGCAAAAGAGUGGGAAGAGCUUUGAGUAGAAGUGACAGACCUACCGAGCCCAGUUAUAGCUGGUUGCCUGAGAAAUGAAUAGAAGUUCAGCCUCCAAGCUUCCCACACUCAAGCAACACUAAUUUACCAUGAGUAUAGGAAACCCAGAGAGUUAUUCAAAGAAGGUACAGCUCCUUUGAAAAAAGAAACAACUUUUCCAGGUGGGUAAAGAUCAUAAUUACCAAGGACGGAUGUUCCAGUGGGCCUAAAAGCAGCCACCACAACAGAAAGCGUUAAAGCUCAGACAUAGCCCUUAAAUUCAACCUUAUAUAAUGAUACAAAAUCUUAACCCCCUACCAAUACCAGGCCCAUCCAUGCAACCAUGUAUGAGAUCCUGCUAAUAUGAGUAAUAAGAAUGUCCUUAGACCUUCUCCCUGCACACGU